CGCCUCUUGCAAAAUUAACGAAUAAGAGGUCCCGCCUGCCCAGUGAUCAUGAAUUCAACGGCCGCGGUAUUUUGACCGUGCAAAGGUAGCGCAAUCACUUGUCUUUUAAAUGAAGACCCGUAUGAAAGGCUAGACGAGGGCUUAACUGUCUCCUUUUUCAAGUCAAUUAAAUUGAUCUUCCCGUGCAGAAGCGGGAAUCUUAACAUAAGACGAGAAGACCCUAUGGAGCUUAAGACACUAAGACAGACCACGUUAAGACUCCCUAAUAAAGGACCAAACUAAAUGGACCCUGCCCUGAUGUCUUUAGUUGGGGCGACUGCGGGGAAAAACAAAACCCCCGCGUGGAUUGGGAGCACUACUACUCUACUCCUACAAUUUAUGAGCCUCCGCUCUAAUAAACAGAAUUUCUGACCAACAAGAUCCGGCAACGCCGAUUAACGAACCGAGUUACCCUAGGGAUAACAGCGCAAUCCUCUUUUAGAGCCCAUAUCGACAAGAGGGUUUACGACCUCGAUGUUGGAUCAGGACAUCCUAAUGGUGCAGCCGCUAUUAAGGGUUCGUUUGUUCAACGAUUAAAGUCCU
This 582-nucleotide ribosomal RNA is filed under the name Stellifer rastrifer (rake stardrum). RNAcentral's name for it is "partial 16S ribosomal RNA". It matches the Rfam family "Bacterial large subunit ribosomal RNA", at positions 1817 to 2597 of the family's 2925-position model. Lineage: Eukaryota; Metazoa; Chordata; Actinopteri; Sciaenidae. The record is from RNAcentral.